UAGGGAAUCUUCCGCAAUGGACGCAAGUCUGACGGAGCAACGCCGCGUGAGUGAAGAAGGAUUUCGGUUCGUAAAACUCUGUUGUUAGAGAAGAACAGCGCAUAGAGUAACUGUUAUGCGUGUGACGGUAUCUAACCAGAAAGCCUCGGCUAACUACGUGCCAGCAGCCGCGGUAAUACGUAGGUGGCAAGCGUUGUCCGGAUUUAUUGGGCGUAAAGCGAGCGCAGGCGGUCAAUUAAGUCUGAUGUGAAAGCCCCCGGCUCAACCGGGGAGGGUCAUUGGAAACUGGUUGACUUGAGUGCAGAAGAGGAGAGUGGAAUUCCAUGUGUAGCGGUGAAAUGCGUAGAUAUAUGGAGGAACACCAGUGGCGAAGGCGACUCUCUGGUCUGUAACUGACGCUGAGGUUCGAAAGCGUGGGUAGCAAACAGG
RNAcentral lists this ribosomal RNA (429 nucleotides) under Bacteroidota bacterium. RNAcentral describes it as "Bacteroidetes bacterium partial 16S ribosomal RNA". It matches the Rfam family "Bacterial small subunit ribosomal RNA", at positions 355 to 776 of the family's 1533-position model. The record is from RNAcentral. Lineage: Bacteria; Pseudomonadati; Bacteroidota.